Molecule: ribosomal RNA, 1223 nt
Filed under: Schmidingerella taraikaensis
Lineage: Eukaryota; Ciliophora; Spirotrichea; Tintinnida; Rhabdonellidae
Description: partial Eukaryotic large subunit ribosomal RNA
Rfam family: Eukaryotic large subunit ribosomal RNA
Source: RNAcentral
UAGGCAAGAUUACCCGCUGAAUUUAAGCAUAUUAUUAAGCGGAGGAAAAGAAACUAACAAGGAUUCCCUCAGUAAGGGCGACUGAAGCGGGAAAAGCUCAGACUGAAAAUCUUCGGAAUUGUAGUCUGGAGAGGUGUGACCAGUUGCGAAUGUGGACUAAGUCUCCUGGAACGGAGCGCCAGAGAGGGUGACAGCCCCGUUCAUGUCUAUGUUCAAAGCGUACGGUCUGCCUUCUACGAGUCGAGUUGUUUGGGAUUGCAGCUCUAAGUGGGUGGUAAAUUCCAUCUAAAGCUAAAUAUUGGUGGGAGACCGAUAGCGAACAAGUACCGUGAGGGAAAGAUGAAAAGAAUUUUGAAAAGAAGGUUAAAGAGUACCUGAAAUUGCUGAAAAGGAACCGAUGGGAGGUAGUGUUAGUUCAUUUCCGUUUACGGGUUUGGACAAGUUAGGCUUCCUUCUUUAUGUGAGAAAAGCUUCGUUAGCCAUCUGGCGCGGAUUUGCUGUCAUGUGAAGGAGGGACUCUAACGAAAUGCCUCUUAUCAUCCCGUCUUGUAACACGGACCAAGGAGUCUAACAUAUGUGCGAGUGCUCGGAGUUCACCUCCCAGCGCGGAAUGAAAGUAAGUCUUAAGGUAGGAACAUGCUGCACUAUCGACCGACCAUGUCCUUCCGGGGUCAAGGUUUGAGUGUGAGCAUAGAUGUUGGGACCCGAAAGAUGGUGAACUAUGCCUGAGCAGGCCGAAGCCAGGGGAAACUCUGGUGGAGGGCCGCAGCGAUUCUAACGUGCAAAUUGAUCGUCGGACUUGGGUAUAGGGGCGAAAGACUAAUCGAACCAUCGAGUAGCUGGUUCCCUCCGAAAUUUCCCUUAGGAUAGCUGCAACCGGUUAAGAGUUUUAUCAGGUAAAGCGAAUGAUUAGAGGAUUCGGGGACGGAAUGUCCUCGACCUAUUCUCAAACUUUAAAUGGGUAAGAACCCGGGGUUGCUUAAUUGAACCCUGCGGUCGAAUGAUGGUUGCUAGUGGGCCAAUCUGGGUAAGCUAGAUUGGCGAUGCGGGAUGAACCGAACGUCGAGUUAAAGUGCCAAAGUAUCCGCUCACCUAGAUCCCACAAAAGGUGUUGGUUCAUUAAGACAGCAGGACGGUGGCCAUGGAAGUCGGAAACCGCUAAGGAUCGUGUAACAACCCACCUGCCGAAUGGACUAGCCCUGAAAAUGGAUGGCGCUUAAGCG